UACGGAGGGUGCAAGCGUUGUCCGGAUUUAUUGGGUUUAAAGGGUGCGUAGGCGGCCCGAUAAGUCAGUGGUGAAAGCCUCCAGCUCAACUGGAGAACUGCCAUUGAUACUGUCGGGCUUGAGUACAGACGAGGUAGGCGGAAUUGAUUGUGUAGCGGUGAAAUGCAUAGAUACAAUCAAGAACUCCGAUUGCGUAGGCAGCUUACUAGGCUGUAACUGACGCUGAGGCACGAAAGCGUGGGGAGCGAACAGG
RNAcentral lists this ribosomal RNA (253 nucleotides) under uncultured bacterium. RNAcentral describes it as "partial 16S ribosomal RNA". It matches the Rfam family "Bacterial small subunit ribosomal RNA", at positions 524 to 776 of the family's 1533-position model. The record is from RNAcentral.